Molecule: long non-coding RNA, 771 nt
Filed under: Equus caballus (horse)
Lineage: Eukaryota; Metazoa; Chordata; Mammalia; Perissodactyla; Equidae
Description: lncRNA (ENSECAG00000034433.3)
Source: RNAcentral
ACGGAAGCCAAAGUAUGAACCCAAGUAUAGCUGGAUGACCAAGGAGCCCUCUUCCAUCUGACUGAAUCUCAUCCAAUUUUGAGGGGAGGAGCCUGCAUGGAGAGCAAACUCUGGGGUAAAAUUACAUGAUCUCACUGCCUGAAGGAUACCAGGCUUAGGUGCAGAGUCACAAAAGUACUUGAGAGUUGGAGAGCUUGCCCCUGACCUCUGUCUAUCAUCAUAAAGAAUACACCAUAAGAAGACGUAGUUCAGGAAAUGAAACUAGAGGGCUGCCACACUUUUCAACUUUCUGUCUAUUAAGCAUUACUUCAGAAAGAUUCGGUCAUGUCAGUGAAAAACAAUUCUGAAAUCACGCAAUUACCGAACAGCUCAAGGCAUAUCAUCAACGUACUUGAAAACAAAGGAUUUUCUACUGGCAGUGUGCUUUGCUGUGGCAUCGAUGUAUCUUCUAAGUUGCAGUCACCCUCCAUAGGGCUAUUCACGAAUAUGAUACAUCUUAAACUCUGUAAGUCUUAAAUAGGGAUGUGGGCUUCUCCAAACUUGAUUAAUCACAGGGAUGUAAAAUACUAGAUAUUCAAAAACAUCUCGAAUAACUUAAGAACGUGGUCCUCCAGCCUUGUUUCAGGACACUCAUAUCUUCCAGUCCCUGCUCUGUUCAAUAGCAAUCCCUGAGUUAUGUGAUGAAAGAAAGCAUGUCUGUCACGCUUUGCAACAUUUACGCCACAUGUUACUUGGCAAUAUGGACAUUCAAUAAAUAUUUGAUUAAUUAAA